This 246-nucleotide unclassified non-coding RNA is filed under the name rhizosphere metagenome. Its description in RNAcentral is "partial ribosomal RNA internal transcribed spacer region". The record is from RNAcentral.
GAUUCAACACAAAUGAGAAGGGAGUCGUUUGCAGCUGUGCUGGCCUCCGACAAAGGGGUAUGUGCACGCUUGGCUUCUCCUUUUCUUCAUUUACACACCUGUGAACCUGUUUGUAGGGUGUCUCGCAAGGGAUGCUCUAUGUCUUUUUUAUAUACACCAUUGUAUGUUUAUAGAAUGUAUCUUUUUGCUCUCGUCAGAGACAAAAGUAAAGCCUUUAUAACUUUCAGCAACGGAUCUCUUGGCUCU